Molecule: non-coding RNA, 207 nt
Organism: Prunus avium (sweet cherry)
Lineage: Eukaryota; Viridiplantae; Streptophyta; Magnoliopsida; Rosales; Rosaceae
Source: RefSeq, a predicted model, not a curated record
CUGUUACGAGCAGCUCAGAGAGAAUUAAAAGCAAAACUAUUAUUCAGAUGGAAAAUCAGAAGAUCUAUUUGAUGCUUAACCAAUUUGUCAAAAAGAUUCCUAUUAUGGUGGUCAUGAAGGCUAUGGGAAUGGAGAGUGAUCAAGAAGUAGUACAGAUGGUUGGAAGAGAUCCUCGAUAUGCUGCCCUGCUAAUGCCAUCUAUUGAGG